GGCAAUUUCAUCAGCGUAUACGUGCAAGUCGAGCGGACCGAACGGAAGCUUGCUUCUGUUCGGUUAGCGGCGGACGGGUGAGUAACACGUGGGUAACCUGCCCGUAAGACCGGGAUAACUCCGGGAAACGGGGCUAAUACCGGUAACCCGAAGACGCAGUCUCGGUGAAGUGGCUGUGUACCACUACGAUGCCGGGCGCAUUAGCUAUGGUGGGUAACGGCUCACAAGCGCGAUGGUAGCCGCCUGAGAAGAGACCGGCCACAUGGGAUGAACACGGCCCAGACUCCUACGGGAGGCAGCAGUAGGGAAUCUUCCGCAAUGGACGAAAGUCUGACGGAGCGACGCCGCGUGAGCGAAGAAGGUCUUCGGAUCGUAAAGCUUGUUGUUAGGAAAGAAGAAGUACCGUUCGAAUGGGCGGUACGGUGACGUACCUACGGAAAGCCCCGGCUAAUACCUGCCAGCAGCGCGGUAUACGUAGGGGGCGAGCUUGUCCGAAAUUAUUGGGGUAAAGCGCGCGCAGGCGGUCCCUUAAGUCUGAUGUGAAAGCCCACGGCUCAACCGGGGAGGGUCAUUGAAAAUGGGGGACUUGAGUCCAAAAGAGGAGAGCGAAAUUCCACGUGUAGCGGUAAAAUGCGUAGAGAUGGGAGGAACACCAGGGGCGAAGGCGGCUCUCUGGUCUGUAACUGACGCUGAGGCGGAAAGGUGGGGGACCAAACAGGAUUAGAUACCCUGGUAGUCCACCCCGUAAACGAUGAGUGCUAAGUGUUAGAGGGGUUAACCCUUUAGUGCUGUAGAUAACGCGUUAAGCACUCCGCCUGGGGAGUACGGCCGCAAGGCUAAAACUAAAAGGAAUUGACGGGGGCCCGCACAAGCGGUGGAGCAUGUGGAUUAAUUCGAAGCAACGCGAAGACCUUACCAGUCUGACAUCCCCUGACAACCCGGGAGACAGGCGUUCCCCUUCGGGGACAGGGUGACAGGUGGUGCAUGUUGUCGUCACCUCUGUCCUGAAUGUGGUAAGUCCCGCAACGAGCGCAACCCCGCCCUGUGCCAGCAUCGUGGCACUCUAAGGGACUGCGCUAAAAGCGAGAGUGGAUACUCAAAUCCAUGCUCAACUGCUAACCGUCUCAAUGCGUACAAGCGCUGCGAACCCGCGAGGGGGAGCGAAUCCCAAAAAGCCGCUCUCAGUUCGGAUUGCAGGCUGCAACUCGCCUGCAUGAAGCCGGAAUCGAUAGUAAUCGCGGAUCAGCUGUAGCGAUCGUGGGGGCAUCGU
This 1270-nucleotide ribosomal RNA is filed under the name Parageobacillus toebii. RNAcentral's name for it is "partial 16S ribosomal RNA". It matches the Rfam family "Bacterial small subunit ribosomal RNA", at positions 28 to 1371 of the family's 1533-position model. Lineage: Bacteria; Bacillati; Bacillota; Bacilli; Caryophanales; Anoxybacillaceae. The record is from RNAcentral.